This 528-nucleotide ribosomal RNA is filed under the name Coeliastes lamii. Its description in RNAcentral is "partial 16S ribosomal RNA". It matches the Rfam family "Bacterial large subunit ribosomal RNA", at positions 1809 to 2611 of the family's 2925-position model. The record is from RNAcentral. Lineage: Eukaryota; Metazoa; Arthropoda; Insecta; Coleoptera; Curculionidae.
AAAAACAUGGCCUUUUGAUUUUAAUUUAAGGUCUAACCUGCUCAAUGAAUUUUAAAUAGCCGCAGUAUCCUAACUGUGCAAAGGUAGCAUAAUCAUUAGUUUCUUAAUUAGAAGCUGGAAUGAAGGGUUGAAUGAGAAAAUAGCUGUCUCUAUAAAAAUUUUAUAGAAUUUUAUUUUUAAGUAAAAAAGCUUAAAUUUAAGUAAAAGACGAGAAGACCCUAUAGAGUUUUAUAUUUAAAGACAAUAUUUUUUUUAGUAUUUUAAAAUCUAUUUUCUUAUAAUAUUUAGUUGGGGUGAUUAGAAAAUUUAAUAAACUUUUCUUUAAUAUAAACAUUUAUUUAUGAAAAUAUGAUCCUUUUUUUAAGAUUAAAAGAGUAAAUUACCUUAGGGAUAACAGCGUAAUUUUUUUUGAGAGUUCUUAUCGAAAAAAAAGAUUGCGACCUCGAUGUUGGAUUAAAAUAAAUUUUUGGUGUAGAAGCUAAAUUGAUUAGGUCUGUUCGACCUUUAAAAUUUUACUUGAUCUGAGUU